This 319-nucleotide ribosomal RNA is filed under the name uncultured Prevotella sp. RNAcentral describes it as "partial 16S ribosomal RNA". The record is from RNAcentral. Lineage: Bacteria; Pseudomonadati; Bacteroidota; Bacteroidia; Bacteroidales; Prevotellaceae.
GGAGUUUGGACCGUGUCUCAGUUCCAAUGUGGGGGACCUUCCUCUCAGAACCCCUACUGAUCGCAGGCACGGUGGGCCGUUACCCCGCCGUCUACCUAAUCAGACGCAUCCCCAUCCCUUAGCGAUGAAUCUUUGCUUCACGUUAGAUGUCCGCUGUGAAGACAUAGGGCAUUAAUCCGGAUUUUCACCGGGCUAUUCCCUACUAAGGGGAAGUUGGAUACGCGUUACUCACCCGUGCGCCGGUCGCCACCAGUCUUAGCAAGCUAAGACCGUGCUGCCCCUCGACUUGCAUGUGUUAAGCCUGUAGCUAGCGUUCAUC